Molecule: ribosomal RNA, 480 nt
Filed under: uncultured bacterium
Lineage: Bacteria
Description: partial 16S ribosomal RNA
Rfam family: Bacterial small subunit ribosomal RNA
Source: RNAcentral
GACGAAUGCUGGCGGCGUGCUUAACACAUGCAAGUCGAGCGAUGAAACACCUUCGGGUGCGGAUUAGCGGCGAACGGGUGAGGAACACGUGAGGAAUCUGCCUUCCACUCUGGGAUAACUCCGGGAAACCGGGGCUAAUACCGGAUACUUUCGACUGGCGGCAUCGCCGGUUGAAGAAAGUUUUUCGGUGGAAGAUGACCUCGCGGCCUAUCAGCUUGUUGGUGAGGUAAAGGCUCACCAAGGCGACGACGGGUAGCCGGCCUGAGAGGGCGGCCGGCCACACUGGGACUGAGACACGGCCCAGACUCCUACGGGGGGCAGCAGUGGGGAAUAUUGGGCAAUGGAGGAAACUCUGACCCAGCGACGCCGCGUGAGGGAUGAAGGCCUUCGGGUUGUAAACCUCUUUCAGCAGGGAAUAAGCGAAAGUGAAGGUACCUGCAGAAGAAGCACCGGCUAACUAUGUGCCAGCCGCCGCCGUAA